RNAcentral lists this transfer RNA (82 nucleotides) under Penicillium digitatum. Its description in RNAcentral is "tRNA-Ser". It matches the Rfam family "tRNA". From Rfam's summary of the family: Transfer RNA (tRNA) molecules are approximately 80 nucleotides in length. Their secondary structure includes four short double-helical elements and three loops (D, anti-codon, and T loops). Further hydrogen bonds mediate the characteristic L-shaped molecular structure. tRNAs have two regions of fundamental functional importance: the anti-codon, which is responsible for specific mRNA codon recognition, and the 3' end, to which the tRNAs corresponding amino acid is attached (by aminoacyl-tRNA synthetases). tRNAs cope with the degeneracy of the genetic code in two manners: having more than one tRNA (with a specific anti-codon) for a particular amino acid; and 'wobble' base-pairing, i.e. permitting non-standard base-pairing at the 3rd anti-codon position. Lineage: Eukaryota; Fungi; Ascomycota; Eurotiomycetes; Eurotiales; Aspergillaceae. RNAcentral also lists the same sequence under 2 other names. The record is from RNAcentral.
GGCAGUUUGGCGGAGUGGUCUAACGCGAUUGACUCGAAAUCAAUUCUCUUAGGAGGCGGAGGUUCGAAUCCUCCAGCUGUCG